CUAUGAUUCAUAUCCCCAGAUAUUCUCUGGCAUUCUCACUAUAUAGUUUCCUUUUUUUUUUUUUUUUUUUUGUACUGUAUUGCUUUUUUUUUUUUUUUUCCCCCAGAAAGAGAAAAUCUUACUGGAGAAAACCAUGCCAAGCCUGAGAACAUUGAGUACCCAAGGCCAAGCUCAACAAGGGCAGAGAACUUUCCGGCAAGAAAUUAUCCCAUCUGUAACAAGGCCAGUCUCAUGGUCUACAGCUCACAAUUGGCAAGAAGAUAGCCCUCAGUAUUGUUCUAGCUUGUAUGGAAUAGAAUGAACAGAGUGAAAAAUCUCCAGGUUAUGAUACAAUCAAGGCCUUCCCUGUCUUCUUCCAUAAACAUCUGCCUCCCUUGUGACUAGCGGCUAUGGGCUACUCAAUUCUCAUCUCAGAAAUAUCGCAUGUAAUCCCCGGAGAGGAUAAAAAAGAUUAAAUGGACAUUCAAGGACCUGCACAUUUGGUCCCAGCAUCCUCCCAGUUCACCCCGUAGGCCACCCACAUGGACUCAUUGUCCUCAUUUUUGUGUUACAACUUUCGCACAUGCUACUUCCUUUGCCUGGAAAGACUUCUUUCUGAUUCUACUUGCCUGGAAAAGCCCAACCAUCCUUUAAGAAUCAGCUCAAAGGUCACCUCCUCUAUGAAGGCUCUCCUGUAUACUCAGUCAUUCACCCACACAUGCUUAUUGAGUACUGUUGUGCUCUUCAGCCAAGACUACCAUGAACCUGCCAGCAAUGAAACAAGGAGGCUCAGAAACUUCGUAUCUACCAGUGUGGCUGGUAUAGACUUUGGCUGCCAUUCACAGGAUUAUCAAGAAGAUCGAGAUCCCAAAAAGCUAAGGAGCUACUGUCCUGGAAGGGAAGAAAACCCACUCCUGGCUUCAAAAGACAGCCAUUGGCUCUAUAACCCUGGCCAGAGUCCAGACAGGAUUGGGGAGAGGAGGUGGGAAACCUAUCCCCUGAUGGCACAGCAGAGACAGAGGAACUGGGGAUGUACCAGAAUGAUAACGAUCCUGAAAUGGCUCUUAGCUUCUCCAAUCUGCAAAACAGAGAAAGGGGGAAGGAAGAAGAUGAAUUGGUAA
This 1100-nucleotide long non-coding RNA is filed under the name Canis lupus familiaris (dog). RNAcentral describes it as "lncRNA (ENSCAFG00000053244.1)". The record is from RNAcentral. Lineage: Eukaryota; Metazoa; Chordata; Mammalia; Carnivora; Canidae.